AAAUUCCUGCGAUAUUGGUAAUGCAAGUAUAUAUUGACCCAACACUUAUUAAUGAGGGAAUCGGACUCUUUUUGUGGAAUGAAACUUUAAUAUUAUUUAAAGGACAGGAAGCAAAAAGGAGAUGCCCACCUGUUUAGGAACAGGUUCAACUAUUACUUGCUUUACGGUAGAGCAGGAAUUUU
RNAcentral lists this non-coding RNA (182 nucleotides) under Clostridium thermopalmarium. RNAcentral's name for it is "6S RNA". It matches the Rfam family "6S / SsrS RNA". Rfam says of the family: E. coli 6S RNA was the first non coding RNA to be sequenced, but its function was unknown until recently. It consists of 184 nucleotides that fold into an extended hairpin structure with a large single-stranded internal bulge. The 6S RNA specifically associates with RNA polymerase holoenzyme containing the sigma70 specificity factor. RNAcentral also lists the same sequence under 2 other names. The record is from RNAcentral. Lineage: Bacteria; Bacillati; Bacillota; Clostridia; Eubacteriales; Clostridiaceae.